RNAcentral lists this signal recognition particle RNA (299 nucleotides) under Callithrix jacchus (white-tufted-ear marmoset). RNAcentral's name for it is "Metazoan signal recognition particle RNA (ENSCJAG00000085950.1)". It matches the Rfam family "Metazoan signal recognition particle RNA". From Rfam's summary of the family: The signal recognition particle (SRP) is a universally conserved ribonucleoprotein. It is involved in the co-translational targeting of proteins to membranes. The eukaryotic SRP consists of a 300-nucleotide 7S RNA and six proteins: SRPs 72, 68, 54, 19, 14, and 9. Lineage: Eukaryota; Metazoa; Chordata; Mammalia; Primates; Cebidae. The record is from Rfam by way of RNAcentral.
GCUAGGUGUGGUGGCACGUGCCUGUAGUCCCAGCUACUGGGGAGGCUGAGGUGGGAGGAUUGCCUGAGCCCAGGAGUUCUGGGCUGUAGUGCGCUAUGCUGGUUGGGUGUCCGCACUAAGUUUGGCAUCAAUAUGGUGACCUCCCAGGAGCGGGGACCACCAGGUUGCCUAAGGAGGGAUGAACUGGCCCAGGUCAGAAACAUAGCAGGCCAGAACUCCUCUGCUGAUCAGUAGUAGGAUCACGCCUGUGAACAGCCACUGCACUCCAGCCUGGGCCACACAGCGAGACGCUGUCUCUA